This 855-nucleotide ribosomal RNA is filed under the name uncultured bacterium. RNAcentral's name for it is "bacterial SSU rRNA". It matches the Rfam family "Bacterial small subunit ribosomal RNA", at positions 541 to 1395 of the family's 1533-position model. The record is from RNAcentral.
UUAAUCGGAAUACUGGGCCGUAAAGCGAGCGGCAGGACGGUUACUUAAGCAGGAUGUGAAUCCCCGGGUUCAACCUGGGGAACUGCGUUCUGAACUGGGUGACUAGAAGUGUGUUCAGAGGGAGGUAGAAUUCCACGUGUAGCAGUGAAAUGCGUAGAGAUGUGGAGGAAUACCGAUGGCGAAGGCAGCCUCCUGGGAUAACACUGACGUUCAUGCUCGAAAGCGUGGGUAGCAAACAGGAUUAGAUACCCUGGUAGUCCACGCCCUAAACGAUGUCAAUUAGCUGUUGGGCAACUUGAUUGUUCAGUAGCGUAGCUAACGCGUGAAAUUGACCGCCUGGGGAGUACGGUCGCAAGAUUAAAACUCAAAGGAAUUGACGGGGACCCGCACAAGCGGUGGAUGAUGUGGAUUAAUUCGAUGCAACGCGAAGAACCUUACCUGGUCUUGACAUGUACGGAAUCCUCCAGAGACGGAGGAGUGCCUUUGGGAGCCGUAACACAGGUGCUGCAUGGCUGUCGUCAGCUCGUGUCGUGAGAUGUUGGGUUAAGUCCCGCAACGAGCGCAACCCUUGUCAUUAGUUGCCAUCAUUCAGUUGGGCACUUAAUGAGACUGCCGGUGACAAGCCGGAGGAAGGUGGGGAUGACGUCAAGUCCUCAUGGCCCUUAUGACCAGGGCUUCACACGUCAUACAAUGGUCGGUACAGAGGGUAGCCAAGCCGCGAGGUGGAGCCAAUCUCACAAAACCGAUCGUAGUCCGGAUUGCACUCUGCAACUCGAGUGCAUGAAGUCGGAAUCGUAGUAAUCGCAAGUCAGCAUACUGCGGUGAAUACGUUCCCGGGUCUUGCACUCACCGCCC